UGGGGAAUCUUGGACAAUGGGGGCAACCCUGAUCCAGCCAUGCCGCGUGAGUGAUGAAGGCCUUAGGGUCGUAAAGCUCUUUCGCCUGUGAAGAUAAUGACGGUAGCAGGUAAAGAAACCCCGGCUAACUCCGUGCCAGCAGCCGCGGUAAUACGGAGGGGGUUAGCGUUGUUCGGAAUUACUGGGCGUAAAGCGCACGUAGGCGGACCAGAAAGUUGGGGGUGAAAUCCCGGGGGCUCAACCCCGGAACUGCCUCCAAAACUAUUGGUCUAGAGUUCGAGAGAGGUGAGUGGAAUUCCAAGUGUAGAGGUGAAAUUCGUAGAUAUUUGGAGGAACACCAGUGGCGAAGGCGGCUCACUGGCUCGAUACUGACGCUGAGGUGCGAAAGUGUGGGGAGCAAACAGGAUUAGAUACCCUGGUAGUCCCACACCGUAAAACGAUGAAUGCCAGUCGUCGGGUAGCAUGCUAUUCGGUGACACACCUAACGGAUUAAGCAUUCCGCCUGGGGA
This 509-nucleotide ribosomal RNA is filed under the name uncultured bacterium. RNAcentral describes it as "bacterial SSU rRNA". It matches the Rfam family "Bacterial small subunit ribosomal RNA", at positions 355 to 879 of the family's 1533-position model. The record is from RNAcentral.